Gasterosteus aculeatus aculeatus (three-spined stickleback) is the source of this 1069-nucleotide long non-coding RNA. The record is from Ensembl. Lineage: Eukaryota; Metazoa; Chordata; Actinopteri; Perciformes; Gasterosteidae.
CACACACACACACACACACACACACACUAUCACCCACAGCGUUGUUCCUCCACUGUUUCCAUGUUAAUGUGGCCGAUAGCGCUGCAGCCACCGGGGCCAAGAUGCCCAACAAACUGACGGCCCACGUACCGACGAGCUGAAACGUUCAACAAGCCGCGGCAAACAAAGCAUAUGGAGGAAACCGAGCGGCCCCACGAGUAGCGCUGCGCGGAUGUUCGGUGCGUUGUUUGGUGCGUGGGUUUGGAUCCAUACCUACUCAACAGUGAUGCCUGCGGCCAGUGGUGACGAGAGGCGCACAGGUGUUUCUCCGGGCGAAGCUGCGCACCACUGCAGUGCACAAAGCAGACGGAUAUCACUCGCCAACAUGAUAGGAAACAGCUCCAGAAGGAAACAAAAUGUACAAAAAAAGUCCUAACCGGGACCGACAACCGUCGCACGACAGAGACAAAACGCGGUGCCGACGGGUGGACUACGUGUCUGUCUGUGGUGGACGGCAGCGCCAGAGAGGCUUCAGACAAUAUUGUUGUAAAUACCGAGGCUCCGCCAGUGGAAACUACCGAGCACAAAACGAGAGGAAUGCGCACACACGUUUCCGGGGGCCAUCAUUUUAUUUCGAAGAAAAUACUGCCUUCUAUCCGGCAUUAUUCUGGUAAUCUCUUAAAAGACUUGAUUUAAUUGUGCGCCUCCCUCUUCCGUGUUACCCAUCGACUACUGAGUGAUAGAACAGUAAACAUCAUUUCCCAAGAUGCAUUGCAGUUUGUCGGCGUUGUCACGUCAGCCACAAAGCCGCAUGGUAAUAGCUUGGAUGCCGCAGACAGUUUUAUUACUUCGCACUGAAGCAUAACAACUCAAAACAAGUACUGCAGCAUAACUUUGAUUACAAAAUACGGUAUGUACAGUAAUAUUGAAACGAAUUAGUGAUUAAAGUCCUUUCAAUUUGGCUUUGACCUUUUAUCUUUCAUUGGACAAUUGUCAAAAACAAAUGUUUGGAACAGCUCAAGGGGAACGACUUUAAUCCACUUGCAAGUAGAAAUGAUUAGUAAUUAGAAAGUAUGGAGCCAAAUUCAGG